RNAcentral lists this unclassified non-coding RNA (264 nucleotides) under Hevea brasiliensis (rubber tree). Lineage: Eukaryota; Viridiplantae; Streptophyta; Magnoliopsida; Malpighiales; Euphorbiaceae. The record is from RNAcentral.
AUUUGUCAAACAGGUUAACAAUUUGAGCUACAUAACUGAGUUUGUCUGUUCCAUAAAGAAUGAAAACAUGAUGGAGAAACUGUACAAUAUUUACGCCUCUUUGCCUAGCCAUAAACAGGCUGAAGUUGUUCAAGCCCAAGAUUUCAGAGGUUUUGAUGCUAAUAACAAGGUUUAUUCUGUCCUGCUCGCCAUAAGGAAGGCUCUUGAGGAACAGGUGCCCAAAAGUCCUGCAAGGGAGCUCUGUAUUUUGACCACUUUAGCCCC